GCCUUCUGGCUUACAAGAGAGCCCAGGGCCAGGCAUCAGGCCCUCUGUCCUCUUUAGGGAAGGAAGGAAGGUCCUUUGCCCUCCGUGACAGGAGAGGAUUAGGGCUGGUGAUGGGGCAGUUUCCAAAGCACAUGGUUUCAUUGAGGAAAAGGAGAGCAUGGGCCUGUGGUAGGGGAGCCAGGGAAGGGGUGAGGGGGUGUGGUGUCUGCUGUGGAUUUUCCAGACCGGGCCACUGACUGCCCUCAAGAGCUUCAAGAGUCCUUGAGCUGACCUCUGCUUGUGAGCCGACCAGGGCACAGGACGUGCUGCCUGGCAUAGCGCCUCCUCCAGGACCUUGAGACUCCAGACUCUAGCUAUGCUGGAUGCCUGGGAGGCCUGCACCCACCUCCUUGGGAGAUUGUCUGCCUCAGAAGUUGCCGUGAGGAUCAGAAAUUACUUGCGGCCUAUUGAAUCUCCAAUUUGUAAAGCCCUGACUGAGUUCGUCUGCCACACGCUUUCUCUCCCAUGGUUCUGUUCAUCCUUCACUUAGGUUUAGCUGGUUGGUUUUUGGCAUAUACUAUGUUUUUAAUCUUCAGAACGCAUGGAGACGUGCUGAACAUGGACAGAGUGAACAUGUCUGCCCAACAAAACCUGAAACCUGGGCAUGUCUCCACCAUGCGCAGGCAGUCCCCUCCCGGGGCACCCUCUGGAGAGGGAGGCAGGCUGCGCCCUGUGCCCGUCCACCCGGUGUCCACUCCACAGAGCCUCGCAUCUGAGGUGAUGGGGACCACUGGUCCCUGGUCCCGAAAGCCCUGCGCUUUCUGCAGGCUGGGCCAGACCUGUGCCCCGGGAAAAAGGGCAUCGCAGGCAGACCCCAUGCAGCAGGGGAAGGGCUGUCCAUGCCUGCAUUCUUGGGCCAGAUAAGGCCCGUUGCUCGAAACAGCUGGGUGCAGAAACUACAGCUUCCUGGUGACGCUCAGCUCCCCUCUGCAUGGCAACACAACAUGUUCCUAAUGACUGAGUUGUUUACUUAAUAAAGAAAUCACAACCACUUGGAGGUUUAAAUAUAGUCUCAGAAACGCAGUGAGCUCGGCUUCUGGUGACUGUGAGGUGCUGGCUCCUGCCACCUGCCACCUCCCUGCCCCACUUGAAGCCUUUAGCAAUGUCUUGGGGGGAGGAAACGGUCUCACUAACCCUGUUGUCUUCCUUGUGAGUCUCUUCUUGAUUUUGAAUAGGAGCGCCUGACUAUGUAAAAGGAGAAAGCGUUUGUUACAUGAUCAGAGUUAGACUCAUUCCAACCUGGGGCCCACACAAGUCUGGGCCCAUUUCCUGCAGCUACUGUGGAGGCGGAUUCCAGGAGGUGACGAGGGUUCUGGGGCAGCUCCCUGGCCAGGAUAGAGGCCACCCCUGCAGGCAAGGCCCUCCCCCCACCCUCUAGCUCCGCUGUGUCAGUAAGCACGCACUCCGCUGUCGGGCCCCAGAUCACCUAGCAGGUGAGAAAAAGGACAACUGGGGAAACUUUUUUCCUCCAUAAGAACUAAUCUGGUAUAUUUUUCUUCAAACACCUACAUAUCACAAUUCUGGUUAAUACACUCUUCAAAAAUCAAAAUCUAGUUCCAUUUUACAUCCCUUCUAACUGUACAAACUGGAGCACCUCUAUUCCUUCCACCUCCUCCCAGAGAGGGUGGGGAUGGAAGGACCAAGGGUGGUCCUUGCUGCUGAAGGUGGUGGCUGGGUCCCGGUGCUGAGUGGGGCAGGGCAGGGCAGGUUUGGGAGCUGGGUGGGGGCAGCCUGUGCUGACGGAAAUCCCCAGUGUCCAAUCUGGCACCUUCCCCAGGAGCUGGCUUAUGCCCACAAGGUGCUGAGUCUGAGGGGGAGGCUGGGUGAAUUUAAAACAAGAUGCACAACUGUUCGGCAGCUCCCUGGCUCCAGGGCUGAGGGGCCUCACACACACACCUCACUGGAUGGGGGUGAGACAGAUCCAGGUGGGAGGCGAUGUGGCUGCCACCCAGAAGCCAGGCUGGGGAGGAGAGAAACAGGACACUGCCCUUAUCCAUGUACUUUUCAAGGCCCUCGAGCCUGGUGCUAAUGGCGCUGGCAGGACAUGGUGGGCAUCAGAGGAGGGCGGCCCCUACACCUCCAGCCCUGGGCCUCAAUUCAGGAAAGACACAUCCUCCUCCCAGGCAAAUUCUGUCUUCACUCUGCCAGGUGCCUCUGGAGUCCCUUCAGAAGUCCUCCAUCCCCGGGUCAGCCACGGCCUGCCUUCCUGGAACCGCGGACUUCCAGGGUUGCCCGUGUGAGUUAUACCCUACUUCACCCACCGAUCUUGCUGCCAGGCUCCACUCAGUGAUCAGGGAGAGUCUCCAGGAGCACCCCUUGCAGCCUGCUCUGGGCGUCAAGAGGUAAGGGGGGUCACAGUGCCUGCAGGCAGCAAAGGGCAGUGUGGCCAGAGAGCCGCCUCAAGCCUGCACUUAGUCCUACCACGUGUUGCCCGAACACCUUGGGCACAUGUGCUUCACCUUCCUCACUGGUGACAAAGGGGCGAGCAUGCCUGGCCCGGGGUGGCUGUGAGGAUGAGAUCAUGGGGAUAAAGUGCCUGGCACAGGUGCCCAGUCAACGGCAGCUGUCGCGGCUGGGAGGUGGAGGGUGGCCAGACCACGAAGGCCAGGCUUCAUACCUGGUGUGACCCUUUGGCGCCGUCAAACUCCAGCAGGGAAAAUGAAACCAAUUUCCUGACUGAGCGGGGAGCCAGGCCUCUUAAUUCAUUGUGCUGGGUGUGAGGACAUGGGCCAGAGGCCCCUGGGCAGUGCAGAGAGCUCAGGAGAAUGGGCAUGGCCUAGGACAAACCAGACCAGAAGGUCUGGAGCUGCCUGCUUGGGGGACAGUUGCUCUAGAAAAGGGGGCAUCGCCACCAACGUGGAAAUGGGGCAAGGAGGUGUUGCCAGGCUCGACAGACCAGGCCAGCCCCAGAUUAGGGAAACUGGCAGAGACAGGAAGUGGCCAUGGUUUCCUUGGCCCCCAUGGCUCUGGCCCCUCGCUGAGCCAGCAAGCCCCUGGCCCACGCCUGCCCGCUGCCUUCGCAGCCUGCAUAGCAGGCCCGUCCCCGCCCUUCCCAGCUGUUGACACUGCUGCGGGGCCUUGUGGGAGCUGAUGUCAUUACACAAAUAGUGUCCCUGCCUGCCGUAAACCCAGCCCAUGCCCCAUCCUGUCUCCCCUGGAAAAUGUCAUAAAAGGGGCCAGUUCCAAGUUUCCAGAGAGGAAACUCUCUGGGAGGUUCUGCCUUCACCGUGCCUCCUCCACCGGCAGCUCCAGCAUGUGCCAGUGCCCACCCUGUUUGGCUUCUCAAGGGUGUCCUCGGGCCCACUGCCUACAGGUCAGAAUCUCAGCAACCUCCUGCUGGGCUGCGGUCAGUAGGGGCUUCCUCCUCUGGGCUCCACAGGCUGGAGCCCUGUAAACCCCCACUCGCCCGCAUGGAGAGGGACCAAUUCCGCAGGGCAAAAGGAGACCCCAGGCUGCUCUCCGCCUCCGACAGGCCUGCCCAAGCCCCUGCAUUUGGGGUCCAAGCUGUCACAGCCAGGGAUCCGUGGGAGUUCCCUAAGAGGAUGGGGGAAGGAGAGGAUCUGCAGUCUUUCUGUUAGGAGUGGUAGUUUGGCUCGGCUUGCUCAAGGCCG
Molecule: long non-coding RNA, 3650 nt
Organism: Condylura cristata (star-nosed mole)
Lineage: Eukaryota; Metazoa; Chordata; Mammalia; Eulipotyphla; Talpidae
Exons: 4
Source: RefSeq, a predicted model, not a curated record